RNAcentral lists this small nucleolar RNA (125 nucleotides) under Meriones unguiculatus (Mongolian gerbil). Its description in RNAcentral is "Small nucleolar RNA SNORA42/SNORA80 family (ENSMUGG00000006120.1)". Lineage: Eukaryota; Metazoa; Chordata; Mammalia; Rodentia; Muridae. The record is from RNAcentral.
GCAUAUGAUGGGCCCACCAUAAAUUCAUACCCAUUUCAUAGUGUCCCAUGCUACUGCAAAGUAUUGUUGCUGUCAUCUGGCCUCUGUGCCUAUAGGCCAUUGGCACUGAAGCAGGUUGCACAAUG